RNAcentral lists this ribosomal RNA (807 nucleotides) under uncultured bacterium. RNAcentral describes it as "bacterial SSU rRNA". It matches the Rfam family "Bacterial small subunit ribosomal RNA", at positions 59 to 879 of the family's 1533-position model. The record is from RNAcentral.
CAGUCGAACGAGAGAUGAGGAGCUUGCUCUUCAAAUCGAGUGGCGAACGGGUGAGUAACGCGUGAGGAACCUGCCUCAAAGAGGGGGACAACAGUUGGAAACGACUGCUAAUACCGCAUAAGCCCACAGCUCGGCAUCGAGCAGGGGGAAAAGGAGUGAUCCGCUUUGAGAUGGCCUCGCGUCCGAUUAGCUAGUUGGUGAGGUAACGGCCCACCAAGGCGACGAUCGGUAGCCGGACUGAGAGGUUGAACGGCCACAUUGGGACUGAGACACGGCCCAGACUCCUACGGGAGGCAGCAGUGGGGAAUAUUGCACAAUGGGGGAAACCCUGAUGCAGCGACGCCGCGUGGAGGAAGAAGGUCUUCGGAUUGUAAACUCCUGUUGUUGAGGAAGAUAAUGACAGUACUCAACAAGGAAGUGACGGCUAACUACGUGCCAGCAGCCGCGGUAAAACGUAGGUCACAAGCGUUGUCCGGAAUUACUGGGUGUAAAGGGAGCGCAGGCGGGAGAACAAGUUGGAAGUGAAAUCCAUGGGCUCAACCCAUGAACUGCUCUCAAAACUGUUUUUCUUGAGUAGUGCAGAGGUAGGCGGGAUUCCCGGUGUAGCGGUGGAAUGCGUAGAUAUCGGGAGGAACACCAGUGGCGAAGGCGGCCUACUGGGCACCAACUGACGCUGAGGCUCGAAAGUGUGGGUAGCAAACAGGAUUAGAUACCCUGGUAGUCCACACCGUAAACGAUGAUUACUAGGUGUUGGAGGAUUGACCCCUUCAGUGCCGCAGUUAACACAAUAAGUAAUCCACCUGGGGA